This 253-nucleotide ribosomal RNA is filed under the name uncultured bacterium. RNAcentral's name for it is "partial 16S ribosomal RNA". It matches the Rfam family "Bacterial small subunit ribosomal RNA", at positions 524 to 776 of the family's 1533-position model. The record is from RNAcentral.
GACGGAGGGGGCUAGCGUUGUUCGGAAUGACUGGGCGUAAAGGGCGCGUAGGCGGUUUUUUAAGUGAGGCGUGAAAGCCCUGGGCUUAACCCAGGAGGUGCGUUUCAUACUGGAAGGCUUGAGUACGAGAGAGGAAAGUGGAAUUUCUAGUGUAGAGGUGAAAUUCGUAGAUAUUAGAAAGAACACCAGUGGCGAAGGCGGCUUUCUGGCUCGUAACUGACGCUGAGGCGCGAAAGCGUGGGGAGCAAACAGG